RNAcentral lists this non-coding RNA (264 nucleotides) under Lachnobacterium bovis. RNAcentral describes it as "T-box sequence". It matches the Rfam family "T-box leader". Rfam says of the family: Uncharged tRNA acts as the effector for transcription antitermination of genes in the T-box leader family. T-boxes are found upstream of many aminoacyl-tRNA synthetase genes and some amino acid biosynthetic genes usually in Gram-positive bacteria. The anticodon of a specific tRNA base pairs to a specifier sequence within the T-box motif, and the NCCA acceptor tail of the tRNA base pairs to a conserved bulge in the T-box antiterminator hairpin. Lineage: Bacteria; Bacillati; Bacillota; Clostridia; Lachnospirales; Lachnospiraceae. The record is from RNAcentral.
AACAAAACGAUGAAGAGAAGAGUAGAGUAGUGGAAUGUAACAGAGAGAGAUACGUUUGGUGCGAGUAUCUUUACAAUAAGCUAUUUGAAGACCAACUCUGAGUGACCCCAAUCAGGUCCGGUGAUUCCGUUAUAAUCAAAUGAGAGGCUAUGUUAUUUUACAUGUGCAAUAUUGUGUUGUAUAGAUGUUAUGCAACGAAUGAUAAUUGUGCAGAAAUAUUUUUCAUAGCAAUUCAGGGUGGAACCGCGUAUUUACGUCCCUGAU